RNAcentral lists this ribosomal RNA (216 nucleotides) under Glomeromycotina sp. Its description in RNAcentral is "partial small subunit ribosomal RNA". The stretch from base 87 to 216 matches the Rfam family "Eukaryotic small subunit ribosomal RNA", at positions 733 to 864 of the family's 1831-position model. The record is from RNAcentral. Lineage: Eukaryota; Fungi; Glomeromycota.
GGGUCAGUAGGUUGGUCGUGCCACCGGUACGUACUGGUCUCACUGAUUCCUCCUUCCUGAAGAACCGUAAUGCCAUUAAUUGGGUGUUGCGGGGAAACAGGACUGUUACUUUGAAAAAAUUAGAGUGUUUAAAGCAAGCUAACGCUUGAAUACAUUAGCAUGGAGUAAUGAAAUAGGACGAUCGAUCCUAUUUUGUUGGUUUCUAGGAUUGACGUA